ACCAGACACAAUUUAGGCUCCUGCUUGCAGGGGCGGGAAGGAGGGGAGGAGUGCCCGUGCCAGCGGCUCAGGCCUCAAGGGUGGGAGGACUCCUCUUCCAGCAGGAGGAUGACCAGGCCAUAGGACAUUUACCCUGGCAACUUCACAGAGCUUGCAGAUGCUCUCCUGAGCUGUGGUUGAUAUUUCUGUGUAUUAGUGUUUUACAUGCAUGCAUGCCUGUGCAUCACAUGUGUGCCUGGUAUCUGUAGAGGUCAGAAGCGGGCGUCAGAUCUCCUGGAACUGAAGUUAUCGAUGGUUGUGAGUGGCCAUGCGAGUUCUGGAAACCAAACCCCAGUCUUCUGGAAGGGCAGCAAGUGCUCUUAUCCUUGGAGGCAUCACCCUACCCUGUCAAGGGCUUUUCCCAUUGACAUCGCUCACUCACUGGUCUUAGUGAUGAAUACUUCUCAUGUUAAUCCAGUCUUACAUCGUUAGGGAAAACCCAACUGAUCUUUAGUUUGUCUUCAUCAUCAGGCACUGUUCUGUAUACGGAACAAAAUUCAUUCUGGAAACAAAAUUUGUCCUUGAAAUAAAAUACACAUUAUAUAUACAUCACAUCAACACUCCCUCCUCAGUUUCAAACUGUACAGUUCCAUUAUAUAUUCACAGUAUUGUGCAGCAAGUCUCUAGAGCUUUGUAAUUCUGCAAAAUAGAAACUCAGUUCUUACUUAAAUUACAUCUUCCCCAUUACCACCCCACAAUUCUACUUUCCCUCUACAAACUAGCUGUUCAGACACCCCAGUAAUCAUGAUUGUACAGCAUUUUUGAAUGUGUAUGAGUGUUUGCCUACAUGUAUGCAUGUGCAUUACAUACAUCUGGUGCCUACAGAGGCCAGAAUCCUCUGUUACUGGAUUUACAGGAGGUUGUGAAUUGCUGUGUGGGUGCUGAGACUCGAACCCCUGCUCUCUGGAGAGAAACCAGUGCUCUUAACUGCUGAGCCAUCCCUCCAGCCCAUACAGUAUUUUUUCACAACUGUAUUUCUCUGAGAAUACUGAUAUGUUUAUGGAAAGUGUACUCAGCUUAAUUUGUGGAUAUGCGUGCUGGAGAAAGAACCCAGGGCCUCUCACACGCUAGGCAAGUUUUUAAUACUGGGCUACACCCUCAGCCCCUAGGUUAACAUUUCAUUACUUUUUCUGUGUAUAUAUUUCU
This is a long non-coding RNA of Arvicola amphibius (Eurasian water vole), 1185 nucleotides long. RefSeq lists it as uncharacterized. The record is from RefSeq and is a predicted model, not a curated record. The transcript is spliced from 3 exons. Lineage: Eukaryota; Metazoa; Chordata; Mammalia; Rodentia; Cricetidae.